UGCAAGGAACCAGGCCACUACAAAAAUGAAUAUCUUAAGCUGAAAAAGGACAAAAGGCCUAAGAAGAGUUUUUCUAAAGGUAAGAAGGGGUUGAUGGCUACGUGGGAUGACUCAGAAUUCGAAGAAGAAGACUCUAUCAAAGAAUAAGCCAACAUUGCAUUGAUGGGGACUUGUAAGACCCCAAAUUUGACUCUAAGAUCCCUCAUGCUAUCUCAUCAUUUGCGUUGACUUUGGGAUCACACCUUGGUAUCCUCC
Molecule: long non-coding RNA, 255 nt
Filed under: Lathyrus oleraceus (garden pea)
Lineage: Eukaryota; Viridiplantae; Streptophyta; Magnoliopsida; Fabales; Fabaceae
Description: Pisum sativum (pea) long non-coding RNA (PSAT_LNC017744)
Source: RNAcentral